AACGAACGCUGGCGGCAUGCCUAACACAUGCAAGUCGAACGAGACCUUCGGGUCUAGUGGCGCACGGGUGCGUAACGCGUGGGAACCUGCCCUUAGGUUCGGAAUAACUCCCCGAAAGGGGUGCUAAUACCGGAUAAUGUCUUCGGACCAAAGAUUUAUCGCCUUUGGAUGGGCCCGCGUUGGAUUAGCUAGUUGGUAGGGUAAAAGCCUACCAAGGCGACGAUCCAUAGCUGGUCUGAGAGGAUGAUCAGCCACACUGGGACUGAGACACGGCCCAGACUCCUACGGGAGGCAGCAGUGGGGAAUAUUGGACAAUCGGCGAAAGCCUGAUCCAGCAAUGCCGCGUGAGUGAUGAAGGCCUUAGGGUUGUAAAGCUCUUUUACCCGGGAUGAUAAUGACAUUACCGGGAGAAUAAGCUCCGGCUAACUCCGUG
RNAcentral lists this ribosomal RNA (433 nucleotides) under uncultured bacterium. RNAcentral describes it as "partial 16S ribosomal RNA". It matches the Rfam family "Bacterial small subunit ribosomal RNA", at positions 29 to 507 of the family's 1533-position model. The record is from RNAcentral.